AGUGAACGCUGGCGGUAGGCCUAACACAUGCAAGUCGAACGGCAGCACAGUAAGAGCUUGCUCUUACGGGUGGCGAGUGGCGGACGGGUGAGGAAUACAUCGGAAUCUACUUUUUCGUGGGGGAUAACGUAGGGAAACUUACGCUAAUACCGCAUACGACCUACGGGGGAAAGCAGGGGAUCGUCGGACCUUGCGCGAUUGAAUGAGCCGAUGUCGGAUUAGCUAGUUGGCGGGGUAAAGGCCCACCAAGGCGACGAUCCGUAGCUGGUCUGAGAGGAUGAUCAGCCACACUGGAACUGAGACACGGUCCAGACUCCUACGGGAGGCCGCAGUGGGGAAUAUUGGACAAUGGGCGCAAGCCUGAUCCAGCCAUACCGCGUGGGUGAAGAAGGCCUUCGGGUUGUAAAGCCCUUUUGUUGGGAAAGAAAAGCAGCAGGUUAAUACCCCGCUGUUCUGACGGUACCCAAAGAAUAAGCACCGGCUAACUUCGUG
This 492-nucleotide ribosomal RNA is filed under the name uncultured bacterium. Its description in RNAcentral is "partial 16S ribosomal RNA". It matches the Rfam family "Bacterial small subunit ribosomal RNA", at positions 29 to 507 of the family's 1533-position model. The record is from RNAcentral.